UAUAUGUACAGCUUUUCACUAUUUAUGUGUCCAACGUUUGAUCGUUUAUUUUAUUUGAAAUUUUUUAUGAUUAGUAUUUUUAUUGUUACUAGAUGAUAAAACAUGAAUAUUACUUUGUGUGACUAAUUUUUUAAACUUUUUAUUGUAAAUUUUUUAAAUAAGAUGAACGGUGAAACGUUGGACAAGGAUACCCACGGUUGUACUUAUU
Oryza glumipatula is the source of this 208-nucleotide non-coding RNA. NCBI's taxonomy places the organism in Eukaryota, Viridiplantae, Streptophyta, Magnoliopsida, Poales, Poaceae. The record is from Rfam.